Molecule: long non-coding RNA, 618 nt
Filed under: Nicotiana tabacum (common tobacco)
Lineage: Eukaryota; Viridiplantae; Streptophyta; Magnoliopsida; Solanales; Solanaceae
Description: long non-coding RNA (NTAB_LNC003033)
Source: RNAcentral
UAAAAACUGAAUAGGAAAGAUGGCAAAAAGGAAGGCUUUACUAAAGCACAACAUUUUUUAUACACAACAUAGUGGACUAAUUUAAUCUUAACUACUAGUGCUACUCCUUUGAGAGAGAGAGAGAAUGAAGUUCUUGUUCCAGGGUCCAUGUUGUUCUUGUUUCUGCUUCAUGAAGCCACAGAAAGGCAAACCAAAAGCUAAAGUGGAAGAAGCCAAACCUAAAGAUAAGAAGGUGGAAGAAGCUAAAGCUAAGGAUAAGAAGGUGGAAGAAGCCAAACCUAAAGAAAAGAAGGCGGAAGAAGCCAAACCAAAAGAGAAGGAAGAAAGCAAACCAGAAUAAUGAUAGUAGAGGCAAUGGCAAAUGCAGCUAUAUUAUUCUAGUACAAGUAUUGUUCUUCAUUUACUUUACUGCUUGUUUAUGGUGUUUUCCAAUUUCCAUCCAUAUGGUGUGCAAUCUUUAACACUUUCUUUGGAAAACGCUAGUACUAUUUCUCCUCCUAAUGUAUUUUUAUAAGAAAAUAAUUUCACUUUAUUUACUCUGAAAGGCAAAAGUAAUACUUCUGUUGCUCGAAUUCUUAAAAAAUUGUCACUUCUAAAAAAUGCAUAACUUUUGCAAGA